This is a long non-coding RNA of Patella vulgata (common limpet), 419 nucleotides long. RefSeq lists it as uncharacterized. The record is from RefSeq and is a predicted model, not a curated record. NCBI's taxonomy places the organism in Eukaryota, Metazoa, Mollusca, Gastropoda, Patellidae. The transcript is spliced from 4 exons.
UGGUGGAAAGUAUGGUUUUAUUAUAGAUGGUCCCAUUGCUCUUCCUUUCGACCAGACAUUUUGGGAUGAUUUAUUUAAAACUGCUGUUCAAUGGGGAUUAACAACUUAUGAUCAGGAUGGGAUGGACGAAACAUUUAUGAAUAUGAAUGUUACAAAACAGGAUGUAACUGCAGGGUCAACCUGGUUACAACAGAUGAAUGAUGCUGCUGUUAGAAAUAAUAUCAAUAUUCUAUAUUCUGAUGCUUAUCCUAGGCAUCUGUUUCAAUCAUUAUUACUACCAGCUGUAACACAGACGAGAGCAAGUCCAGAUUACGGUAAAAAUAAAGAUCAAUGGAAAAUUGGCAUUUCUUCGAUUUUUGCUGAUGCAUUAAAUUUGGUCCCCAAUAAAGAUUCAUUUAGAACGAGUCACAACGGAUCAG